GUGCCAGCCGCCGCGGUAAUACGAAAGGUGCGAGCGUUAAUCGGAAUUACUGGGCGUAAAGCGCGCGUAGGCGGCUUGUUAAGUCGGAUGUGAAAGCCCAGGGCUCAACCUUGGAACUGCAUCCGAUACUGGCGAGCUAGAGUGCAGUAGAGGGAGGUGGAAUUUCCGGUGUAGCGGUGAAAUGCGUAGAGAUCGGAAGGAACACCAGUGGCGAAGGCGGCCUCCUGGACUGACACUGACGCUGAGGUGCGAAAGCGUGGGGAUCAAACAGGAUUAGAAACCCCAGUAGUCC
Molecule: ribosomal RNA, 292 nt
Filed under: uncultured bacterium
Lineage: Bacteria
Description: partial 16S ribosomal RNA
Rfam family: Bacterial small subunit ribosomal RNA
Source: RNAcentral